AACUAGGACACUGCCAUUGAUACUGCAGAGCUUGAAUAAUAUGGAAGUAACUAGAAUAUGUAGUGUAGCGGUGAAAUGCUUAGAUAUUACAUGGAAUACCAAUUGCGAAGGCAGGUUACUACGUAUUUAUUGACGCUGAUGAACGAAAGCGUGGGGAGCGAACAGGAUUAGAUACCCUGGUAGUCCACGCCGUAAACGAUGGAUACUAGCUGUUCGGUUUUCGGACUGAGUGGCUAAGCGAAAGUGAUAAGUAUCCCACCUGGGGAGUACGUUCGCAAGAAUGAAACUCAAAGGAAUUGACGGGGGCCCGCACAAGCGGUGGAGCAUGUGGUUUAAUUCGAUGAUACGCGAGGAACCUUACCAGGGCUUAAAUGUAGAUUGACAGAUUUGGAAACAGAUUUUUCUUCGGACAAUUUACAAGGUGCUGCAUGGUUGUCGUCAGCUCGUGCCGUGAGGUGUCAGGUUAAGUCCUAUAACGAGCGCAACCCCUAUUGUUAGUUACCAGCGCGUAGUGGCGGGGACUCUAGCAAGACUGCCGGUGCAAACCGUGAGGAAGGUGGGGAUGACGUCAAAUCAUCACGGCCCUUACGUCCUGGGCUACACACGUGCUACAAUGGCAAGUACAGAAAGCAGCUACCUGGCAACAGGAUGCGAAUCUCCAAAGCUUGUCUCAGUUCGGAUUGGAGUCUGCAACUCGACUCUAUGAAGCUGGAAUCGCUAGUAAUCGGAUAUCAGCCAUGAUCCGGUGAAUACGUUCCCGGGCCUUGUACACACCGCCCGUCAAGCCAUGGAAGCUGGGGGUACCUGAAGUCGGUGACCG
This 820-nucleotide ribosomal RNA is filed under the name Myroides sp. Its description in RNAcentral is "bacterial SSU rRNA". It matches the Rfam family "Bacterial small subunit ribosomal RNA", at positions 611 to 1436 of the family's 1533-position model. The record is from RNAcentral. Lineage: Bacteria; Pseudomonadati; Bacteroidota; Flavobacteriia; Flavobacteriales; Flavobacteriaceae.